UACGUAGGGUGCGAGCGUUAAUCGGAAUAACUGGGCGUAAAGCGUGCGCAGGCGGCGCGUUAAGACAGGUGUGAAAGCCCCGAGCUUAACUUGGGAAUUGCGCUUGUGACUGGCGGGCUGGAGUGUGGCAGAGGGAGGUGGAAUUCCUGGUGUAGCAGUGAAAUGCGUAGAGAUCAUGAGGAAGACCAGUGGCGAAGGCGGGUCUCUGGACAGUUCCUGACACUGAGGCACGAAGGCCAGGGGAGCAAACGGG
This 253-nucleotide ribosomal RNA is filed under the name uncultured bacterium. Its description in RNAcentral is "partial 16S ribosomal RNA". It matches the Rfam family "Bacterial small subunit ribosomal RNA", at positions 524 to 776 of the family's 1533-position model. The record is from RNAcentral.